AUGUUACUUGACCAUGAUGAACCUACGAACUAUGAGGACACGAUGAUGAGCCCAGAUUCCGCAAAAUGGCUUGAGGCCAUGAAAUCUGAGAUGGGAUCCAUGUAUGAGAACAAAGUAUGGACUUUGAUUGACUUGCCCAAUUAUCGGCGAGCCAUUGAGAUUAAAUGGAUCUUCAAGAGGAAGACGGACGCUGAUAGUAGUGUUACUAUCUACAAAGCUAGAAUUGUCGCAAAAGGUUUUCAACAAGUUCAAGGUGUUGACUACGAUGAGUGUUUCUCACUUGUAUCUAUGCUUAAGUCUGUCCGAAUCAUGUUAGCAAUUGCCACAUUUUAUGAAAUCUGGCAAAUGGAUAAACGAAACUGCGUUCCUUAA
RNAcentral lists this ribosomal RNA (372 nucleotides) under Triticum aestivum (bread wheat). RNAcentral's name for it is "partial small subunit ribosomal RNA". The record is from RNAcentral. Lineage: Eukaryota; Viridiplantae; Streptophyta; Magnoliopsida; Poales; Poaceae.